CUCCCAGCACCCCUCACCCAACACACAUAUACCCAGCUCCUCUUUCUCUCUCCUGGACUUUCUCUUGUCCCUCCAAGCUCCUCCUCUACUUUCCAUCCAGCACUUCCAGUGGGGACCCAGGGAGAGAAGGCUGACUAACUGGUUUGGCCAGCUAUCAGCAGGCAGAGAGGAAAUCUGGCUAAGGAUGCUGCUUGUAAUUCCAUCUUCUGAGCUUAUGCCACUCUAUUCAGGAACCAGCUCCCUUCCUUCUUUGCCCGGAUGGACACAAAAGUCUCGCACCUGGUCUUCCUGUUUGGACCCUCUCCCAGCCAUUCUCCAUACUGUACAGUGGGAUCAUUUAAAAAUACAAAUGUGAUUCUGUGGGUCCCUUGCAAAUGACCUCAAUGGCUGAUUGUAGCUCUGUGGCUGAAGAUCCAAAUGGAGGGGGAAAAAAAGACAGAAUUAACAAACCAGAGUGAUUCAGCAAGUUACAUCAUUGUCGCAGGACACACCAGAUUGCAACAACGAAACAGUAUGGUCCUAUAAAAACUGGUGCUCUUUUUGUCCAGAAAUUGUGUUGGCUUGCUGUGUCCUGUUGCUAACUAAGAAUAAAGAGUGGCCCACACAUUGCAUCUUCCCGUGGUGAUGGGAGGAGAUGAGGAAGGUGCUUGUGGGUGGCAGCACUGUGCAUCUUUCUCCCUCCAGGGUGGG
Molecule: long non-coding RNA, 690 nt
Filed under: Heterocephalus glaber (naked mole-rat)
Lineage: Eukaryota; Metazoa; Chordata; Mammalia; Rodentia; Bathyergidae
Description: lncRNA (ENSHGLG00100052329.1)
Source: RNAcentral